GUGGGGAAUCUUCCGCAAUGGGCGAAAGCCUGACGGAGCAACGCCGCGUGAGUGAAGACGGCCUUCGGGUCGUAAAGCUCUGUUAUAUGGGACGAACGUAUCUAUGGCCAAUACCCAUAGAUAGUGACGGUACCGUAAGAGAAAGCCACGGCUAACUACGUGCCAGCAGCCGCGGUAAUACGUAGGUGGCAAGCGUUGUCCGGAAUUAUUGGGCGUAAAGGGCGCGCAGGCGGCCGGUCAAGUCUGUCUUAAAAGUGCGGGGCUCAACCCCGUGAUGGGACGGAAACUGGCAGGCUGGAGUGUCGGAGAGGAAAGCAGAAUUCCUAGUGUAGCGGUGAAAUGCGUAGAUAUUAGGAGGAAUACCAGUGGCGAAAGCGGCUUUCUGGACGGUGUCUGACACUGAGGCGCGAAAGCCAGGGGAGCGAACGGGAUUAGAUACCCCGGUAGUCC
This 450-nucleotide ribosomal RNA is filed under the name uncultured bacterium. RNAcentral's name for it is "partial 16S ribosomal RNA". It matches the Rfam family "Bacterial small subunit ribosomal RNA", at positions 354 to 796 of the family's 1533-position model. The record is from RNAcentral.